GACGAACGCUGGCGGCGUGCCUAACACAUGCAAGUCGAACGGGGUCCAUGAGAGCUUGCUCUCGGAAGACCUAGUGGCGAACGGGUGAGUAACACGUGAGAAACCUGCCUUGGAGUGGGGAAUAACUCGGGGAAACUCGAGCUAAUACCGCAUACCUUCCUUUGAUCGCAUGGUCAGCUGAAGAAAGAAUUUCGCUCCAAGAGGGUCUCGCGGCCUAUCAGUUUGUUGGUGGGGUAACGGCCUACCAAGACUACGACGGGUAGCUGGUUUGAGAGAACGAUCAGCCACACUGGAACUGAGACACGGUCCAGACUCCUACGGAGGGCAGCAGUGGGGGAAUCUUGCGCAAUGGGCGAAAGCCUGACGCAGC
This 370-nucleotide ribosomal RNA is filed under the name uncultured bacterium. Its description in RNAcentral is "bacterial SSU rRNA". It matches the Rfam family "Bacterial small subunit ribosomal RNA", at positions 28 to 392 of the family's 1533-position model. The record is from RNAcentral.